GGCCUGGUGGUCUAGCGGUAUGAUACGCGCUUCGGAAUCCGAUCUUUCCGGGAGCUUCAGCUCAUCAGAAUGUGCGUGGUCCCGGGUUCAAUCCCCGGCCAGGCCC
Non-coding RNA from Oleoguttula sp. CCFEE 5521, 106 nucleotides. Lineage: Eukaryota; Fungi; Ascomycota; Dothideomycetes; Mycosphaerellales; Teratosphaeriaceae. The record is from the annotation of a GenBank genome assembly.